Long non-coding RNA from Lagenorhynchus albirostris (white-beaked dolphin), 1657 nucleotides. RefSeq lists it as uncharacterized. The transcript is spliced from 3 exons. The record is from RefSeq and is a predicted model, not a curated record. Lineage: Eukaryota; Metazoa; Chordata; Mammalia; Artiodactyla; Delphinidae.
CAGCAUCCUGUAAUCAAACGUACUCAUAUUUCUGUAGUGAGAUGUAUAGAGUGCAUAAAUAAAGUAGCCGCAUGUAACUCAAGACAGGUUUCUCUAGCAAAUGAGUUUAUUUCAGAUCAGGUUUUGCUGCCAAAUGAGUUAUACAUUUUGGCAUUCGGAACUUUGAAGGUUUUGAAAUUAUAUUCUCCCUGUUUCUUCAGAUGAAGACACUGAGGCACAGGGAGGUGAAACAGUGUCCCACAUUCGUUAACUCACGGGAGGUGAGGCUGGGCCACCAACCCGGGCAACCUGGCUCCAGACUCCAAGCUCUUCACAGCCACCUGGCUGUGCCCCUCGGUGCUGCCCACUUCUCGAGCAGGGCCUGACCCAUCCGUAGAAUACGGAUCAUGCCAACCUUGCAGCCUUGCUCUGAGGACCAGAUACAAUAAAGAUGUCUGAUGUGUGUUAAGUCCGAGAAUCAUGACCACAAACAAGGCUGGAGAAUGCUUCUGCUUUGUAAUAGCUCUCAUGGGUCAUGUCUAAGGAAAAGGUCCUGAGGCCAGAAGGCAGAGGUCCAGGUCUGGCUCAGCCAUUAUCCAAGAAACCCCGGGACCUUCGGCCUCCCUGGAACUCAGCGUCCUCCGCUGCAGCAUGGAGGUCAUCCUGUCUCCUCUGCCUGCCUCUCUGCAUGGUGAUGAGAACGUGACACGAGAAUGGAUGUAACAAUUUUCUGAGAAUUUCAAAGACCGUGCCAAAGUUCAUGCUUAGGAACCAAAGCCAGGUUUACCUACUUCCCCAGCUAAAGAAAUAUCCAUCCUGGUAGGCCAGGCGCUGCCAAGUGCUGGCCUCCUUGGAGUUCAAUCGCCUGUCUGGUCAGCAGACAUUCCUGCAUCACAGGUGGCAAGGGACAAGUGAAGUCGCAGAAGACUGGCUGACAGAUAGUUGUCAAAGCCACCGAGAGCAGAAGCAGUAUGGUCUUCUCCCCAGAGCACUGUGCUCCUCUACGCCUCCUUGAGCCGCGUCCAGAGAGCACUUGGCGCCCUGUCUGUCUAGAACAGGUCCAGGGAGGAGGUAAGUCGUGCAGCCAGCCAGGGACCAGGAGAGCCUGGGCAGGACCCUCACCUCCUGACUUCCGAGAGCUGCCUCCGCCCCCUGCGCCUCUCCAGGGACUGAUGGAUGAGGCCGUGAUGGGCGUGCUUGGCCUCCUGCUGUCUCUUGUUGCUCAGGUAACUGAGUGAGAUGAAACAGAAACAAGCCACGUGACCUUGCUGCCUCCACCCAUGCGUCCAGACAGCCCCUGUCUCAGCCAGAGUCACAGUCAGGCCAGUGGAUCCGGGCUGGGCGUGGUUUUGGGGUCAGGGACCCCCUCCCCGAGGAGAAACGCCUGAGCUGGGUGGCCGCCGAUAUUCUCUGAACGCUGUUCUUGAGCAGACAAGAUGUUGAAGCGGGGGUGGGUUGGGGGGCAGAGGUUGAGGGAUCAGAAUGAUUUGAGUGUGCGGCUGCCAGUGUGUCACAUAGCUGGAAUUGUGCGAGGCCUAGGAUCUAGCUGCCUGUCCUUGGUUUACUCAGGGAAUCUAUAGAACGAGAGGGCAGAGGGCAUGGCCUCUAACCCUCACCUUUGAAAUCUGUGUCUCUAGCUUUCCCGCUUGCCCCCGGGAUGGGCCCUCCCAAGCUUUCA